UUGCCACUUUUGCCAGCUGAAUUGAGGAGCUGGUGGCAAGUGUUAAGAGGAGGUCCCAGCAUCUUUACAAGGAUAGUGACGGAUGCAAAGGACGUGCCCGAAUCCGCCGAAGGAUCAGGGAGGGAAAAAAAUUUUUAAAUUCUGUAGUGGAAAAAUAACACCUUGGUUCCUAAUGCAGAAAAACUGACAUUGGACACCAUUCUAUGUGACAAGAUUGUUUGGCUAUGGCAGCUUACACAUGGUGACUCUGUAGAUCUAAGGACAAAGAGGAAGGCGUUCGACAUUGUGAUGGCAGUAAGGAGACUUGAGGAGUAGACGAGGAUUCUUAUUGCAGAGAUGAACAAGCAUUGGAAGUCUCUUUGCUCCCGUGCAGACACCCUGAAGCAGAUGCCAUCCCAGCUUGUGACAUCUGACAUCAGGUAUACGUGGGGCCUGCUUCAAGACGGUAUCCGAGGUCUACAGAGCUUGACAUUGAAGAACAAGCAAGCAAGCAACAGCCUGACAAAGCAUGCAAAGAAAUGUUAUGUUCAAGUUCUGACUGAAACAGAAAUUAACUUUGAUAGUCAUUCUGAGGAAUACGAUACCAGUAGUGAAUUAAACAUGGCCAGAGUCCUUUUUUCUGCUGUUGUGUGCUGGGGAGGGCCGCUGGGACAGGUUGGUGAGGAAAGCUGGUUCUGUGUUUGGCAUGGAGCUGGAGUUAAGUAGCAGUCUUCUGUCAUGCUCAACAUUGAGGAGGUCUUUUGUCCCCAGGGCAAACCAGCAACUCAAUUUCACAGAAAAUGUUAGGGGAGAAAUGGACUUUUCAGCAUGAGUCUCACCCUGCGCCAACCAUUACAUCACUUUGUCUAUUGUCUAGUAUCCACUAUCCAUUUGACUUUUCUUAUAUAUAUAUAUUUAAGUUUCUGUUGUUCUAUCUAUUUUAACUUAUUUGUGUUGUUUUUGUUAAGCAUUACUAUUAUGCUCACUCUUUUUUCCAUAGUCAUAUGAAAUAGCACAGUUUUGCACUGAUUAAAUCCCUGCACUGUUUACUUUUGCACUACCACCACUGCAAAUCACUCCAUAGCUAACCAUCAUGUAUCACAGGGUCAGUCCCUACCAGGUCUUUGUAUUCACUUGACAUGCUCUUCACUUUUUACAUUUGUGAUUUUUGUUAUGUGUCUGAGCUAUGUGUGUUGUUUUUGUGAUUGUAUAAGCUAAUAAAUGGCUAAAAUGUG
Long non-coding RNA from Carassius carassius (crucian carp), 1214 nucleotides. RefSeq lists it as uncharacterized. The record is from RefSeq and is a predicted model, not a curated record. The transcript is spliced from 3 exons. Lineage: Eukaryota; Metazoa; Chordata; Actinopteri; Cypriniformes; Cyprinidae.